GAAUAUUGGACAAUGGGCGAAAGCCUGAUCCAGCCAUGCCGCGUGUGUGAAGAAGGUCUUCGGAUUGUAAAGCACUUUAAGUUGGGAGGAAGGGCAGUAAGUUAAUACCUUGCUGUUUUGACGUUACCGACAGAAUAAGCCGCGGCUAACUUCCUGCCAGCAGCCGAGGUAAUACGAAGAUGGCAAGCGUUAAUCGGAAUUACUGGGCGUAAAGCGCGCGUAGGUGGUUCAGCAAGUUGAAGGUGAAAUCCCCGGGCUCAACCUGGGAACUGCCUCCAAAACUACUGAGCUAGAGUACGGUAGAGGGUAGUGGAAUUUCCUGUGUAGCGGUGAAAUGCGUAGAUAUAGGAAGGAACACCAGUGGCGAAGGCGACUACCUGGACUGAUACUGACACUGAGGUGCGAAAGCGUGGGGAGCAAACAGG
Molecule: ribosomal RNA, 425 nt
Filed under: uncultured bacterium
Lineage: Bacteria
Description: bacterial SSU rRNA
Rfam family: Bacterial small subunit ribosomal RNA
Source: RNAcentral